UACGAAGGGGGCUAGCGUUGUUCGGAUUUACUGGGCGUAAAGCGCACGUAGGCGGAUUGUUAAGUCAGGGGUGAAAUCCUGGAGCUCAACUCCAGAACUGCCUUUGAUACUGGCAAUCUUGAGUCCGGAAGAGGUGAGUGGAACUCCUAGUGUAGAGGUGGAAUUCGUAGAUAUUAGGAAGAACACCGGUGGCGAAGGCGGCGAGCUGGUCCAUUACUGACGCUGAGGCGCGACAGCGUGGGGAGCAAACAGG
RNAcentral lists this ribosomal RNA (253 nucleotides) under uncultured bacterium. Its description in RNAcentral is "partial 16S ribosomal RNA". It matches the Rfam family "Bacterial small subunit ribosomal RNA", at positions 524 to 776 of the family's 1533-position model. The record is from RNAcentral.